GCAAAGGGCUGUCCAAGGGCAGCUCUGGGAACCUCUCUGGGAAGUGCCUUGUCCCAAGGGAACUGGUCUCCUCUCCGUGCACCCCCAGCUCUGUGGGUGCCCAUCCCCAGCAGUGCUGACCACCAGUCAGGGCAGCAGGGCUCAUCCCACAGCACCCACUGCAGCUCUCUGCAGCCUCCUUUUCAGAGGGGUCCCUGACCCAGCUGCAACCCUACCCCAGGCACAUGAGGAGGAGGAUGAUCUGGGGCCACACCCAGGGAUAAGAGGUGGGAGGGGGGGGGGGAAGGCCUCCAUGUCUCCUCUCUGCAGACAGACCAGACUGACAGCAGUGCCACCGAGUGUUAUCAUCAGAGCUGGUUGCAUGAAGGCUCUGCUCUGUCCCUGACACCAGCAGCAUGUCAGCCCUGUGUCCCCACACACCCUCCCAUCCUCUGCUCUGCAGAACAUCUCUUCUCAUUGCCACCACCUUCCCUCUCCUUUCAGAUGUCCCUGUCCUGCCCGAAGGUUACCCAGCAGAUGGCUAUGAUGAUGCUGGGGAGGUUUCUGACCCUGGGGAGGAUCCUGUCCCUGGGCAGGGGGACUGGGAAGUGCCCAGGACACCAGAGGAAGGAGAUGGGCUGAGGCAUGCAGCCACAGGGGGAAGCCUGCACUCCCGGAGAAGUGCUGAGGUCCCUCGAGCUGAUGGACACACCUCGUCACCUUUCCUGGGGACCACAGGCUAUGACGAUGUUGAAGAGGUGUCUCUGGCAUGUCCCCAUGAGGACACCCAGGAUGUGACACCAGAGCCCCGUGCACAAGAGUUCCAGAGCCCCAGGCCAGCAGACACCAGCCCUGCUGAGCAGCUGGGUGCAGCUGGGAGGGAGGAGAGCUCAGUGCCAUUGGGAGAACCGUGAGUGCCAGGGAAUGGUGUCCCUUUUCCAGCAGUCAGCAGGCACACAUGGGUAUUUCCCCUCUUGGUAUUCCCCUGUUUUUAUGCUGUGUGUUGGUAUUUCCUCAUAUUAAAACCCUCUGGGGGCUUUGCCCCAGAUCCAGUCGUCCCUGACCAUGUUUCUGGGCGUCUCCCUGAGGCUGAUGGAGGGGAGAAGAGCUCAAAGAUCCAGCGGUUUGGAAGGAGCUCAUCUUAGAACCAGCAGGAUCGGGGUCUGGCUUUGG
This 1152-nucleotide long non-coding RNA is filed under the name Anas platyrhynchos platyrhynchos (common mallard). RNAcentral's name for it is "lncRNA (ENSAPLG00000017061.1)". The record is from RNAcentral. Lineage: Eukaryota; Metazoa; Chordata; Aves; Anseriformes; Anatidae.